RNAcentral lists this ribosomal RNA (336 nucleotides) under Triticum aestivum (bread wheat). Its description in RNAcentral is "partial small subunit ribosomal RNA". The record is from RNAcentral. Lineage: Eukaryota; Viridiplantae; Streptophyta; Magnoliopsida; Poales; Poaceae.
AUGAAGCGCAACAGUGCGGCUGGCCCGGACGGCUUUCCUGCCGAGUUCUUUCAAUUUUUCUGGAACCUCAUUUGUAACGAUCUCCUUAGGCUUUUUCAUGACUUUUAUGAGGGCAAGAUUAACAUUUCAAGGCUUAACUAUGGGGUAGUCACUUUGCUUGCUAAGGGGCAGGGGGCUGAUAGGAUUCAAAUGUACCGCCCCAUCUGUAUGCUGAACGUUCCUUUUAAAAUUUUUACAAAAGCUCUUAACAAUAGAGCUAUGAAAAUUGCGGAUAAAACAAUUUCCAAAGCUCAAUCUGCGUUUAUAAAAGGGCGCUACAUCCUGGACAAUGUACUU